GCCUCCAUCUUCCUCUCGUUUCAACAGCGCCUCAUCUCAAUUCUCUUCAUCAACACCAACUGAAAAGAUGAGAUUUAUCAACAACAUCAUCUUUUGUCUAUUAUCUUCAUCAAGGCCAAAUGAAAACGAAGAUUCAUCAACAACAUCGGUUCUUGGAGUCUGAAUCGAUGAAGAAUAGACGAUGAGGAUUAUCAACAAUAAUCAAGAGUAAUUCUUUGUUGUCUAAAGCAAUUGGGAUCUAUCAAAUGGGAAAUUUUUGUUGUUUUCGGGCUGCACAAUCGUUGAAUCCCUAAAUUAACAUUUUUGGGAGUAAGUUUUCUCUGUACUUAUAUGAUUUCCUUCACUUCAAUUGGAUUUUAUGUUCUUGUAUAAUUAGGCAUCUGAAAGUCUAAUAAGCAUUAUGCUAUAUACACACAGGAAUCCAGGAAUUGCUGUAGAUUGUGUUUUUGAACUGAUUUGUUGAAUGUACUUCUCUUACAUGUAUGGGAUGAACCAGUUGACCAUGGGGGUUAUUAUAAGUGUGAUGUUUCAAAUUUGAACUUCCUAUUCUAGUUAAUAUCCGAUUUUACUUGUAUUCGUUAAAUUUAUUAGACAUGAAGGUAUGUUAAUUGUGUAUUUGUUGUUGAUAUUAGAAAUGGAACAUUUGCGUAAAUUCAAGAGCACUUGAAAGGUUUCCAGGGUAAGAAACACUUGGAGGAUUUUUCUGUUAGGUGCAUUCAAAUCUUAUUAUGAUUUUCAAUCAUAUUGGACGCUCUCUUAGCUUGUAUCAGUUCGCAUUCGGACGAUUUUUGUGACUCAAUCUUUGAAUCCGUGUCUAAAUGGUUGUGUACAAAAUUGUUUGCAUCUGUUCUCAAAUUUCAUGUUAUUGUGACUCAAUCAGGUCACUAACAUGUUAUUGUUUUUAUCUUCAAGGCAUUUUCAACUGUAGGUACGCCAGAUUACAUAGCUCCAGAAGUGUUGCUGAAGAAAGGUUAUGGCAUGGAUUAUGACUGGCUGGUAGAACUUGGUACUUGUAGCUUCACCAUCAGAAUCACUUAAAAUUACCUGAAGAGGCAAGGUUGACACCUGAAGCAAGGAAUCUCAUUUGUAGAUUGUUAUAUGAUGUUGACCAGAGACUAGAUAUUGGAGGGGCAUAUCAAAUAAAAGUGAGAUCUUAUUCCUUUUUCGAGUCUUUUCAUAUCAUGUAAUUUUGUUUCUUGUAUUUACUGUAAUGGAAACUUCUCAAGCUCAUACUUUGUUCAAAGAAGCUGUUAAAUUUAAUUUA
Long non-coding RNA from Papaver somniferum (opium poppy), 1264 nucleotides. RefSeq lists it as uncharacterized. The record is from RefSeq and is a predicted model, not a curated record. The transcript has 2 exons. NCBI's taxonomy places the organism in Eukaryota, Viridiplantae, Streptophyta, Magnoliopsida, Ranunculales, Papaveraceae.